Molecule: ribosomal RNA, 1386 nt
Filed under: Triticum aestivum (bread wheat)
Lineage: Eukaryota; Viridiplantae; Streptophyta; Magnoliopsida; Poales; Poaceae
Description: partial small subunit ribosomal RNA
Source: RNAcentral
AUGACGAUGUGGAGAGACCUAGUUCACAUGGCUGCAGCUGUGUUGAAGGUACAGGUGGGAGAAGAUGUUGUUGGUCUUAUUAGCUAUGAUCCUAUGACGGUAACCCAGCUGGCCCUGUCCAUGGGUGCCCCCUUCCGGGAGCGCAGGCCUCAGAUGAUUACAUCUGUGGGGGCGCACAAGGGGGUACGUAGGGUGUCCUGGGCGGAGCAGAUGGCACGAACGAACAGCGCUCGCCUGCGUGGGCGCGAGGACAAGUGUCCGGCUCAGCUGUUGGGCAAUGCGAACAGCCACAGCGCCCGCGCGCUCGCCCGCCAACCUCCCCGCCGUUGGCCGUCCUCGACCUUUCGACGGAGGCACGCGGAGCCCGGCCGCGGCCGUGGAAGUUGGCCGCCGGCGCCCAGGGGGGCGUACGUAGAGGCACCUGAGACAGGGACAGCGAGCCGCUCGUCCCGGCGCGUCGCGGGGGGUUGGACCUUGGACGGGCGCGCGUACGAGGCUGGCCGGCGGGCUCACGGGCGCGGGGGCAAAGCACGUGGACGCGCCGUGGAGUUUCUGGCCGCGGCCCCGACAGCCCCCGCAGCUAGGCUAGGGGCUAGGGCUACUGCACCUCCACGUGAAACCUCCCUUGCUUCCAGUUCCAGGUCACCUCCGGCCACGGCCAGGCCCCUACCCGUCCCUACGGCUAUACGUCGUUCCUCGGCCUGGCCUGGCCAGGACCGGGCAUCGUCUAUCGUGGGCCCAUCCUGCAAGUCGAACCAUGCAUGUCCUCCGUCGAUCGAGUCGCGCCUGCCUCUAGUCGCCAUGGAUAUCGAUCUGUUGAUAAUUGGCUACCAAGAAUCUCUGGUCUUAAGGUUACUGCAAAGAAGAACAGGUCCGAGGAGAUGGGAUGAGAAUUUGGUUAGGCACUUAUUUUAUCCACAUGAUGCAGAGGAGAUUUUAAGUCUACGUCUUCAGUCGUCAGGGGAAGCUGAUUUUAUAGCUUGGCAGAAUGGUUUAUUCUCGGUUAAAAGCACGUACAUGUUUGCGCGUAAUCUAAAGGAACGUAAAGAAGAUGAAGGGCAAUACAGUGGCGCGGUGUUGGGGGAGAGGAAGAUUUGGGAUAUUAUUUGGAAGGCCAAUGUUCCUUCGAAGAUUCAUAUUUUUUGCUUGGCGUGUCGCUACGAACAGCUUGGCCGUCCAGAGGUGGACUCAAAAAAUAAAGGUGAAGGUCUGCUGUCAGGAUUAGAAAUUGUUCCUAAUCCUAUGGAAACUCAGGUGUUAUGGCAACCCCCUCCUUCGGAGUAUAUUAAGAUCAAUGUCGAUGCAAGCUUUGCGGAGAGCAUUAGCGCUGCAAGUGUAGUUGUGGUGGUCAAGGACUCUUCGGGGAAGGUCCUCGUCUCUUCCUAG